This 505-nucleotide ribosomal RNA is filed under the name uncultured bacterium. Its description in RNAcentral is "partial 16S ribosomal RNA". It matches the Rfam family "Bacterial small subunit ribosomal RNA", at positions 29 to 507 of the family's 1533-position model. The record is from RNAcentral.
UACGAACGCUGGCGGCGUGCCUAAUACAUGCAAGUCGAACGCACAGUUUAUACCGUAGCUUGCUACACCAUAGACUGUGAGUUGCGAACGGGUGAGUAACGCGUAGGUAACCUGCCUGGUAGCGGGGGAUAACUAUUGGAAACGAUAGCUAAUACCGCAUAAUAUUGAUUAUUGCAUGAUAAUUGAUUGAAAGAUGCUAUUGCAUCACUACCAGAUGGACCUGCGUUGUAUUAGCUAGUAGGUGAGGUAACGGCUCACCUAGGCGACGAUACACAGCCGACCUGAGAGGGUGAUCGGCCACACUGGGACUGAGACACGGCCCAGACUCCUACGGGAGGCAGCAGUAGGGAAUCUUCGGCAAUGGACGAAAGUCUGACCGAGCAACGCCGCGGGAGUGAAGAAGGGUUUCGGAUCGUAAAGCUCUGUUGUAAGAGAAGAACGGGUGUGAGAGUGGAAAGUUCACACUGUGACGGUAUCUGACCAGAAAGGGACGGCUAACUACGUG